ACGUUAGCGGCGGACGGGUGAGUAACACGUGGGUAACCUACCUAUAAGACUGGGAUAACUUCGGGAAACCGGAGCUAAUACCGGAUAAUAUUUCGAACCGCAUGGUUCUAUAGUGAAAGAUGGUUUUGCUAUCACUUAUAGAUGGACCCGCGCCGUAUUAGCUAGUUGGUAAGGUAACGGCUUACCAAGGCGACGAUACGUAGCCGACCUGAGAGGGUGAUCGGCCACACUGGAACUGAGACACGGUCCAGACUCCUACGGGAGGCAGCAGCA
This 273-nucleotide ribosomal RNA is filed under the name uncultured Staphylococcus sp. RNAcentral's name for it is "partial 16S ribosomal RNA". It matches the Rfam family "Bacterial small subunit ribosomal RNA", at positions 89 to 355 of the family's 1533-position model. The record is from RNAcentral. Lineage: Bacteria; Bacillati; Bacillota; Bacilli; Caryophanales; Staphylococcaceae.